RNAcentral lists this transfer RNA (73 nucleotides) under Abditibacteriota bacterium. Its description in RNAcentral is "tRNA-Met(cat)". It matches the Rfam family "tRNA". From Rfam's summary of the family: Transfer RNA (tRNA) molecules are approximately 80 nucleotides in length. Their secondary structure includes four short double-helical elements and three loops (D, anti-codon, and T loops). The record is from RNAcentral. Lineage: Bacteria; Pseudomonadati; Abditibacteriota.
GCGCCCGUAGCUCAACGGUUGGAGCAGGGGACUCAUAAUCCCUUGGUUGGGGGUUCGAUUCCCUCCGGGCGUA